This 425-nucleotide ribosomal RNA is filed under the name uncultured bacterium. RNAcentral's name for it is "partial 16S ribosomal RNA". It matches the Rfam family "Bacterial small subunit ribosomal RNA", at positions 354 to 796 of the family's 1533-position model. The record is from RNAcentral.
GUGGGGAAUCUUGCGCAAUGGGCGAAAGCCUGACGCAGCCAUGCCGCGUGAAUGAUGAAGGUCUUAGGAUUGUAAAAUUCUUUCACCGGGGACGAUAAUGACGGUACCCGGAGAAGAAGCUCCGGCUAACUUCGUGCCAGCAGCCGCGGUAAUACGAAGGGGGCUAGCGUUGCUCGGAAUUACUGGGCGUAAAGGGCGCGUAGGCGGACAGCUUAGUCAGAGGUGAAAGCCCAGGGCUCAACCUUGGAAUUGCCUUUGAUACUGACUGUCUUGAGUUUGGGAGAGGUGAGUGGAACUCCGAGUGUAGAGGUGAAAUUCGUAGAUAUUCGGAAGAACACCAGUGGCGAAGGCGACUCACUGGCCCAAUACUGACGCUGAGGCGCGAAAGCGUGGGGAGCAAACAGGAUUAGAUACCCUGGUAGUCC